Molecule: ribosomal RNA, 253 nt
Filed under: uncultured bacterium
Lineage: Bacteria
Description: partial 16S ribosomal RNA
Rfam family: Bacterial small subunit ribosomal RNA
Source: RNAcentral
UACGAAGGGGGCUAGCGUUGUUCGGAAUUACUGGGCGUAAAGGGUUUGUAGGCGGUUACACAAGUCCGUGGUGAAAGCCCAGAGCUUAACUCUGGAAUUGCCAUUGAAACUGUAUAGCUUGAGAGUGUUAGAGGAAAGUGGAAUUCCUAGUGUAGGAGUGAAAUCCGUAGAGAUUAGGAGGAAUAUCGAUGGCGAAGGCAGCUUUCUGGGACAUUUCUGACGCUGAGAAACGAAAGCGUGGGUAGCAAACAGG